AAUUGGAGGGCAAGUCUGGUGCCAGCAGCCGCGGUAAUUCCAGCUCCAGUAGCGUAUAUUAAAGUUGUUGCAGUUAAAAAGCUCGUAGUUGAAUUUCGGGAUCAAUAUUUCGGUCAUGCCGUUGGUAUGCACUGUUAUCAUUGAUUUCUCACCUUCUAAAGAACCGUAAUGCCAUUAAUUUGGUGUUACGGGGAAUUAGGACUGUUACCUUGAAAAAAUUAGAGUGUUUAAAGCAGGCUCACGCUUGAAUACAUUAGCAUGGAAUAAUGAAAUAGGACAUCCGAUUCUAUUUUGUUGGUUUCUAGGAUCGAUGUAAUGAUUAAUAGGGAUAGUUGGGGGCAUUAGUAUUCAAUUGUCAGAGGUGAAAUUCUUGGAUUUAUUGAAGACUAACUACUGCGAAAGCAUUUGCCAAGGAUGUUUUCAUUAAUCAAGAACGAAAGUUAGGGGAUCGAAGACGAUCAGAUACCGUCGUAGUCUUAACCAUAAACUAUGCCGACUAGGGAUCGGAUGAUGUUAAUUUUUUAAUGACUCAUUCGGCGCCUUACGGGAAACCAAAGUGU
This 560-nucleotide ribosomal RNA is filed under the name uncultured Glomus. RNAcentral describes it as "SSU rRNA". It matches the Rfam family "Eukaryotic small subunit ribosomal RNA", at positions 546 to 1106 of the family's 1831-position model. The record is from RNAcentral. Lineage: Eukaryota; Fungi; Glomeromycota; Glomeromycetes; Glomerales; Glomeraceae.